This 76-nucleotide transfer RNA is filed under the name Candidatus Hydrogenedentota bacterium. Its description in RNAcentral is "tRNA-Gln". It matches the Rfam family "tRNA". From Rfam's summary of the family: Transfer RNA (tRNA) molecules are approximately 80 nucleotides in length. Their secondary structure includes four short double-helical elements and three loops (D, anti-codon, and T loops). The record is from RNAcentral. Lineage: Bacteria; Pseudomonadati; Candidatus Hydrogenedentota.
UGCCGGAUGGCCAAAUUGGUAAGGCUCCUGACUCUGGAUCAGGUAACUCUAGGUUCGAAUCCUAGUCCGGCAACCA